UACGUAGGGUGCGAGCGUUGUCCGGAAUUAUUGGGCGUAAAGGGCUCGUAGGCGGUUUGUCGCGUCGGGGGUGAAAACCUUGGGCUUAACUCAGGGCUUGCUUUCGAUACGGGCAGACUAGAGGUAUGCAGGGGAGAACGGAAUUCCUGGUGUAGCGGUGAAAUGCGCAGAUAUCAGGAGGAACACCGGUGGCGAAGGCGGUUCUCUGGGCAUGAUCUGACGCUGAGGAGCGAAAGUGUGGGGAGCGAACAGG
This 253-nucleotide ribosomal RNA is filed under the name uncultured bacterium. RNAcentral's name for it is "partial 16S ribosomal RNA". It matches the Rfam family "Bacterial small subunit ribosomal RNA", at positions 524 to 776 of the family's 1533-position model. The record is from RNAcentral.